UACGGAGGGUGCAAGCGUUAUCCGGAUUUAUUGGGUUUAAAGGGUCCGUAGGCGGGCUAAUAAGUCAGAGGUGAAAUCCUACAGCUUAACUGUAGAACUGCCUUUGAUACUGUUAGUCUUGAAUUUUUGUGAAGUUGCUGGAAUAAGUAGUGUAGCGGUGAAAUGCAUAGAUAUUACUUAGAACACCAAUUGCGAAGGCAGGUGACUAACAAAAGAUUGACGCUGAUGGACGAAAGCGUGGGUAGCGAACGGG
Molecule: ribosomal RNA, 253 nt
Filed under: uncultured bacterium
Lineage: Bacteria
Description: partial 16S ribosomal RNA
Rfam family: Bacterial small subunit ribosomal RNA
Source: RNAcentral